AGAGUUUGAUCCUGGCUCAGGAUGAACGCUAGCGGCAGACUUAAUACAUGUGAGUCGAGGGGCAGCGGAUCCCUCCGGGGAUGCCGGCGACCGGCGAACGGGUGAGUAACACGUAUGGAACCUGCCCUUAACUGGGAAAUAGCUUUGAGAAAUCGAAGGUAAUGUCCCAUACCAUCUGAAGAAGGCAUCUUUUUCAGAUGAAAGCUCCGGCGGUUAAGGAUGGCCAUGCGGUCCAUUAGCUUGUUGGUGAGAUAACCGCUCACCAAGGCUGCGAUGGAUAGCUGAUCUGAGAGGAUGAUCAGCCACAUUGGCACUGAGACACGGGCCAAACUCCUACGGGAGGCAGCAGUAGGGAAUCUUGGUCAAUUGGCGAAAGCCAGAACCAGUCAUGCCGCGUGCAGGAUGAAGGCCCUACGGGUCGUAAACUGCUUUUAUUCGGGAAGAAAAAGUCUGUUUCCACAGACCUUGACGGUACCGAUUGAAUAAGGACCGGCCAACUCCGUGCCAGCAGCCGCGGUAAUACGGAGGGUCCAAGCGUUAUCCGGAUUUCACUGGGUUUAAAGGGUGCGCAGGCGGCUAAGUAAGUCAGUGGUGAAAGCCUUCGGCUCAACCGGAGAAUUGCCAUUGAAACUACUUAGCUUGAGUGCAGUAGAGGUAGGCGGAAUGUAGCAUGUAGCGGUGAAAUGCAUAGAUAUGCUACAGAACACCGAUAGCGAAAGCAGC
RNAcentral lists this ribosomal RNA (723 nucleotides) under uncultured bacterium. RNAcentral describes it as "bacterial SSU rRNA". It matches the Rfam family "Bacterial small subunit ribosomal RNA", at positions 8 to 725 of the family's 1533-position model. The record is from RNAcentral.